ACAACCAACUCGAAGGGAGCAUACCACAAAGCAACCAAUUCAAUACAUUUACAAAUGAUUCCUACCGUGGGAACCCAAAAUUGUGUGGGCUGCCAUUGUCAAGGAAAUGCAAUGAAGUUGGUCUUCCAAUGCCACCACCUCCAGGGGAAAAUGAAGAUUCAUGGUUAUAUGCUCUGUGUACUUGGAAAAUUGCGUUGAUAGGUUAUGCUAGUGGAUUAGUGGUUGGGCUAUGUAUUGGAUAUACAGUGCUGAAUGAGUUGGGAAACAAAUGGGUUAACAAGUUCAAAAAGUGUGGGAUAAGAAAUAGAAGAAGAUGUAGGUGACUCCAUCAGAAUUCUUGCUUCAAAAUUAGCUGGUAAGCGUUUGUCUUUCUAAUUUGAACAGAUAGUUGUUGAUUUAUAUAUAUGGGUUUUCAUAACCUCAUUUUUUGCUGUCUUUACUAAGUUCACUAUCAUAUCGUGCUUGUAAUUUGAUGUUACCAUUGAGCAAUGCAGGAGGUACUUGAAGCAGGACAUGGAAUGUACAGUUGUGAGGUUCAUGAAGAAUGUAGGCAAUGAUCCUAACAAGAUCAAUCCACUGGUUUGUAAUUUUGCUUUAUAUGCACUUUUUUCCUUUUGUAGUUUUCCACGAGUAUAAGUAAGUGUUUAUUCAUUUUGCAUCCAGGUCCCUGUGGAUUUGGGGGAUGCAAUGUUUCACUGCUACUGAAUUUCCAUGCUAAUAAUGAUAUUAUAAACAAGGAUAUGGCUGCCCAAGCUUUCUUUUAUAUGCAAUUUACUUUUACUUCAAUUAUUUUAUCUUCGGAAUAUUUGUACAGCUGAGGAGAUUUAAUGGCAUGAUGUUGAUGGAAGCCAUAUCUGGUGGACAUUGGAUGGAUUGUGUAAAGAGACGCAGAUGCUGCUACUCCCAUCCUUUGCUCUUCCAAACAGAUAUUAGCUUUAUAUUUUAUCAAUCACGUGUUGGGCUUUAGGACCGGGUGUAAAGGGUGGACCUGUUGGUCUGGGUUUUAGUUCAGCCGGACACUUAUUUUCAUACUAGUUUGUUUAUCCUUUCAAUGAUAGUUAUAUUAAUUUCAAAAAACUUUUGAAAUUGAAAUUAAUUUUUUCAAAGAAUCGAAAAAUUGUUAAUAAUAUAAGAUAUCUUGUCAGUCUCAUUUGUCUUUGAUAAUUUCAAUUAAAUCUAUAGAAAUUUUAAUGUGAAAAUUUAAAUAAGUUUCUUUCAAAGAAAUUGCUAAGAAGAGAAAAACUGUAAACAUUUUAUCAUCAAAAUUUCCGCUACUUGUGCCCAUCAAUCCAUCUUAACUACCUAAGAAACUUGCUAAACAUUGUUUUCAUGGGGUAAAAAAGAUUUAGAUAUUUGCAUGCAGUGCCAAAAGGCUGAGACUAAGUCCAAUAAUAUCUCAUUCCAUAAAUUUCUAUUGAUUCCAUACACUUUAAGUUCAUUGAAAAGUCAUCAAAGUUAUGAGAAAAUUUAGUUUUUGAGCCAUUAAUUUAUCUCAACCAGCUAAAAAAAUUCACCACAAUUCCAUUUUUUUUUAUUAGUUGACUAAAAUAAAAUUAGUGGUACAACAUUAUUUUGAUGCAGUAGUGAUCGGGCUUAGUCCAAAAUUAAAAAUAAUGUAUGGAAAGUACUAAUUUGUGUAUAAAUAAGUUGUAUGGAAACAAUCCUCCUUCACAGCCAGCAAACAUGAAAGCCAUAUCUGAUGGACAUUGUACUGAUUGUGUAAAGAGACAACUGCUGCUGCUUCUCCCACCUUUUGCUGACACAUUGGGUUUUUAUUUUAUCAAACACAUGUUGGGUUUUGGUACAGCCUCGCACUUAUUUUGUACCAAUCGAAGUUUCGCAAAAAUUGUGUGGUCAUCAUAAUUUCCACUCCAUAUAUUCCCAUCAAUCCAUCUAAACCAGCUAACACAAAUGCUUUAUUUUUGUGUUUAUAAUGACUUGACUUAAACAAAGUGGUAAACCAUUGUUUUCAUAUGGUAAGGAUCGGGCAAAGACUUAGACAUUUGCAUGCAAUGCCAAAUCUUGAAUUUAGAGUUGAGCCCAUAAUUUGGGGUGUUGGAUUUAAUUAAACCCGUUGGUAGAUCAUAACAUAUUUAUAAGUUGGAUACUACUUAAUAAUUAGGAUUUAGGAGUACUCAUUAUUGGGUAAAAAGACUUGAACAUUAGCUUGCAUGCCAAAGAAAAAAAACCUUAAUUUCUAAAACACAUUUCAUCUUAUCCUUCAGCAAAUUAUCUCCGUCUCAUUUAUUUUUGAUGAUUUUUUAUGAGUGUUUAAUCGAAUCAAGUAAAAUUUUUUUGAGUUAACUGAACUGAUGAGUCCUAUUUAUCAUCCUAACUUGAUUUGACAUUUUUUCGAAUUGAGUCGAGUGAAAUGAAAUUCGAGUCAAAUUGAAUCGAGUGAAAUUAUUCAAGUUCAAUUAAAAAAUUAAAUAUAUCAAAUUAAAAUCUUGUUAUAGGAUAAUUAAUUUAAUGUUAGGACACAUAAAUUUAAAACUAUAUACAUUUGAAAACUUUUUCAAAACAAAAUAAUAAUAAAAAUUCUUACAAUUGAAAAAAUAUAUAUAAUUUAAAAUUUUUAUAAAUAUUUUGAAUUUUAAAAAUUAUUUUGAAAUAUUAGCAGGUAAGCAUUAGUCUAAUUAAGCAUUAGUCUUUCUAAUUUGAAAAGAUAGUUGUUGAAAAAUAAAUUUCUCUAUCAUAUCCUACUUGUAGCAUUGACAUUCAUUUUCCAUAUUCUAUUGUAAUUUUAUGUUUCAUUUAGCAAUGCAGGACAUGGAAUAUCCAGUCAGGAGGUACGUUAUCUUUGAGGAAAAUGGUAAUUAGUUCCUUAUGACUACAAGCAUUUUUCAAUCACGUUUUAUGCUUUAGGUCCGGGUGUAAAGGGUGAACUCGUUGGUCCGGGUUUUAGUGCAGCUUGACACUUGUUUUUAUAUUAGUCUAUUUAUCCUUUCAAUGACAGUCUUAUUACAUUAAAAAUUAUCGUUCAAUUAAGCUUUGUAUGUAAUAAUAUGAUAAUAAUAAUUAAAAUAUAAUGAAAGAAUUUUUGUGUUACAAUCUAGUAUGUUUUUAUAUUAGUCUAUUUAUCCUUUCAAUGAUAGUCUUAUUACGUUAAAAAUUACUGUUCAAUUACACUUUGUAUGUAAUAAUAUGAUAAUAAUAAUUAAAAUAUAAUGAAAGAAUUUUUGUGUUACAAUCUAGUAUGUUUUCCAAUGUUAGCCAAAGUCCAACACUAUGUCACACUAUUAUUACAAUGUACACAUACUUUUUAGGGAAAUUUAUCCAAUGAAACAGAGCAUUAAACUAGUUUCCCAGAUGCAGGGAAGAAUUGGAAUGCCACAAUACUAUGAAAAUGAUUAAGAAAAAUACUAAUAACAAAAAAAAAAAAAUGGUAAUGGAAUCACAGUAAUUGAAAUGACGAAGAAGGGUGUUUACCUGGAUUAUCAGCGACGAAUCUAAUGGUUGCCCAUCCAUUCACAGGCACUCCAACAGUGUUCCUCACAGGUGGAUCAACAAGGCUGAAUUUAGAAAUAUCCUUUUUAGGAUCGAAGUUCUUUAAACGUUGUGCAAUGAUAUAGAAAUCGUAUACAUGAAGAUGAAUUGGAUGAUUCUCGGGUGUCACUAUGCUUUUGUCUUGGAGCACAAUUUUGUACCCUAAAAAUGUUGGUAUGGGUUAGAGGUGAGAGAGGUGACUGAGAUGAAGAUGAUGAUGUUGAUGCUGAUGCUGAUGUGGUUGGUGGUGGCAAUGAUGAAGGUGAGUGAAGAAUGUUCAGUGAUGGAGGAUGCCUCCAGAGUGCUGGGAGCCGAAAGUGUUAGAAGAAAAAUGGUGGAAAAAGAGCCCCCGGUUAGAAGCUUUGCUACAAUUAAAAUUGAGUUAAAUUGAAUUUACCACAAAAUGCUGAUUUGUAUCCCGAUAAAAUUUGGUGUCUACGUAAAAAAAAAAUUAAAAUAUAAUGAAAGAAAUGAUGCCUUGCAAUGUGGUGUGCUUUUUAGUGUUAGUAAACAAUCUAAAACACUAGAAAAUUGGAAGUGACUUUAGAUUUAAAAAAGAAAAAAAAUCCAUAUUUUAGAUUAAAAAAGAAAUUCCUUUACUUUUUUAUGAAUUGACUAAAAUGAAGUGGUAGAAACAUUAUUUUCAUGCAGUAGUGAUCGGGAUAAGAUUAAGAUUAAUAAUAUUUUAUUCUUAUACUAAGACUUAGAAAUUUGCUUGCAAUGCCAAAUAUUAAAACUAAGACUAAGGCCAACAAUAUAUUUUACUAUUAUUUAGUUAAAAGUUUUUGAAGUUUAGAGAUAAAUUUAGAAUGCAACAUAUAAUUUGGGGUGUUAAAUUUAAUUAAACCCUUUAAUAGAUCAUAGCAUAUUUAUAAGUUUGGUACUGCUUCAUAAAUUAGGACAUAAAAGUACUCAUUAAUAAAUUAAUUUCGUAUAUAAAUUAAUUCUUUUGGGUGUUAUACCAAAUUUAAUUUAAAAUUUUUAAUAGUAAUUUUUAUUAAAAAUUAAAUUAUGUAAGAAUAAUUAUAUAUAAUCUAUAUACCUAUAUAUAAAAAUUGGUUUCCACCUUCUUUCUUUUUAAUUUACAUUUUACAAAAAAAAUUAAAAUUAAAAUUUAGUUUCUUUAAUAUGCCUAAAUUUGAGAUUUAAUCUAUACUUUAUUCUUUAACAUAAUUUAGGCACUAUAUUUUUAUAAUGUAAUAGAUUAGUCCUUACACGUGGCACAUCCAACCAUUUUUGCUGUCCUUUCCUUUAUCCUUUUUUUUUUAAUUUUACAAUAAAAUGUUAAAUUUCAGUUUCAAUCCCUCUAAUAUGUCUAAAUUUGAGAUUUAAUCUAUAUACUUUAAUCUUUAACAUAAUUUGGGCCCUACAUCUUUAAAUGUUAUUAAUUAGUCCAAAUUAUUAAUAUGAUUAACUUUUCGGUGAAACAUUACGUGGUUAUUGAUAGUUUGCAUACAUAAGAGUCUUAGAGACUGACACAUUACUUUCCAUUUCUUUUAGGUUUGCAUCACUUUUUUGUAAGCUAUACUAAAACUUAAUAUUUAAUCUAUAUAUUUAAUUUUUGAUAUAAUUUAGUUCAUCUACUUUUAUAAUGUAAUUAGCUAGUCAAAAUAGUUAAUGUUGUUGGUUAUUUCUAUCAACAUGCUAAUGUCAAUUUUUCUUAAAAACAAUAUGCUUCUGAUAGGAUUUUUUUUAUCGCGGCGAUGUGAAUGAGUGUUGUUAAGGAAAAGUCUUUAUAAAAUAUUUUAAAAGUUAUUUUUAUUGUUACAUGACUACCAAUUGAUUUUUUUUUUAAAUUUCAAAAUAUCACCUCAGAGAAUUUAAUAGAAGAAUUUUAAUGAUAGUAUAAUUGAAUCAAAAAUUUUAAAUUUUAAAAGUAGAAAAUCAUAUUUCUAAAAAUAAAAAUAGAGAAGCUAAAUUCUAAAUGUACAAAAUAGAGAGAAUUAAAAUAUAUUUUAACCUUCAAAUAUUUUACUCUAUAAUUAUAUAUUUUUACUCUAUAAUUCUCACUUCCACUUUAUCUUUGUUAAUUUCCUACUUAUUUCUAUUUUUUAUUUUGCUUAUGAAUCUAAACAGAGAAAAAAAAAGGACAAAAAAAAGAAAGAAAUGAAUAGUAUGAAUUAAAAUUUGAGAUUUGAUCCCUAUUAAAAAUUAAAAAUUUAUUGUUUCUAUUUUUUUAAUUUAAAAAUCAUAGAUAAAUCCUUCUACACGUAAUUUAAAAUUUUUGUGCAUUCAAUCAUCAGAAUUUCCACUCCUUGUGUCCAUCGGUUCAUCUCAAAUCACCUAAGAAACUUGCUAUAAUUUGUCUUUAUAAUGACUUAAACAAAUCGGUUGAACAUUGAUUUCAUGCAGUAGUGGUCCACCAAGAAGACUUAGGGUAGUUUUGGAUAGGUGGUGUAUUUAUUUGCUGUUAGUCUAAAAACAACGGUGACGGUAAGAUUAGAUACUAUAAUGAUACUGUAACAUGAGAUAAAAAAUAAGCUAAACGCACCGCACCGCCCAUCCAAAUCCACCCUUAGACAUUAACAUGCAUGCCAAAACAAUUAAGACUAAGGCUAAUAAAAUCUCAUAUUAUCAUUUUCUUUGUUAGUCCAAAAUAAAAAAAUAUUAAAAAAAUUUAAGUUAGACAAUUAUUGAUAAUUUAAGGACUUAAUUGAAAUAUUUUAAAAUUUAGGUAUUAAUUUAUAAUUUAAUCCAUUAUUCAGGGGAAAAGAUCAGAACCUUGGAAUAUUAUUCAUAUAGAAUAAAGAUGCAGAAAAAAGAAUGGUCUUCAUUUCUUUCGUUCUUUAUCAUUUUAAUUAACUUUAAGGAAGCUUCAAAGUAAAAAUUUAAAUAUGUUUCUUCCCAAGAAAUUAUAUUAACAACUUAAUGUAAAUAAUGAUUUGAAUAUUGGAAUUAAAUAUUAAGUAAAAUAAUAAUGUUGUAUUGAAACUACAAAUUUAUGUAUAAAUGUGUUGCAUGAAAACCAUCCUCCUUCAUACCCAAUCAACAUGAAGACUCUUCAGUCCAUUGCUUCACUUUUUCUACCUUUCUUCUUUCUCUUCUCAUCCUUUCUUUCUCAAACUCAUCUCCUAAUGCAGUGCCUUAAUAAAUAAGUUGUAUGCCAAACACAAUCCUCCUUCACACCCAUCCAACAUGAACACUUUUCGUUUCCUUAUUUCACUAUUUCUCUUCUCAUGCUUCUUUCCUCCUCUCUUGUCUUUUUUACCUCUUCAAACUAAUCUCCCAAAUGCUGCAAUUGCAACAUCAUCUUUACUAUGCCCCUAAUUUUACUUUCUCUUCCAAAUUUGAGCUCUGUGAUGUCAACACUGAUUGUUGUUCUUGGGAAGGAGUCACUUGUGAUGCUUAUGGUCAUGUCGUUGGCAUUGAUCUUAGUUACAAAAACCUUUCCAGUAUCUUCCACUCAAUAUUCGAUCUCCAUCAUCUUCAACACCUGAAUCUUGUUGAAAAUAACUUUAAUACCACUUUGCAUUCUUAUGGGUUUGUGUUAAAGUUGGCCUGCAUGCAGCCAAGAAGCAGAGAAGCAACCCGAGCCAUGAAUGUUGCAGUUGAAGAUGGUGCUGCUGUUUUUGUUUAGUUUUGUUACUUUAAUUAACAUUUUGUAACUUAGUUAGAUUCAAACCAAGUUGUUAAUGUACUUGAUGUAAUUUGUCAAUGCUUUGAGCUGAUAAAUUAGCUUCACUAAGUGUGCAAGUUAUGUUUCAUUAGUUUCAAGGUUACUUAGUGGUAGUAGGUAAUGUUUAGGUAACAAUUUACUUAUUUUUAACUAGCUUAUGUCUGGUAUAUGUAUUGGCAUUAUGCCAUCUUUCAAUGUUAAUGAAAAUUCAUCAAAAUUCAUCAUAAAAUUCCCUUUUCUUGCUUUCUUUUGUCUUUCAAGCCUGGUUAUAUUUUGUUUGCUCAGCAAGUAUCGAGCCUUCAAGCUCAAGAAACUGCUAACUUCAUUCAUUUCACAUUCUUAGUUCCAACAAUUGGUAUCUAGAGCUCAUCUUCUAAGUGGACAUGUCAUUUUUCAUUCCUCAAAACUAUGUCUUCUUCAGGUUCUCUCCAGCUGCACCAACAGUCUUCAAUGGAGAAUGCUACCACAUUUGGGUAGUAAAGAUGAAAACCUACUUGCAGGCAUUCAACUUAUGGGAAGUGGUUAACUCGGAUGUUGAACCAGCACCUCUAAGAGUCAAUCCCACAGUGGCUCAGAUCAGGCAGCACAUAGAUGAAAGAACUAAGAGAUACAAGGCCAUGUCUUGCAUCCAAAACAGUGUGUCUGAUGUGAUUUUCACAAGUAUCAUGGUUUGUGAGUCACCAAAACUGGCCUGGGAUAGGCUGAAGGAGGAGUUUCAAGGGACUGAAAGAACGAGAUAGCAAAAAUUAGUGAAUUUGAUAAGGGACUUUGAAAUUUUGAAGAUGAAGGAAGAAGAAAUAGUGAGGCAAUAUUCAGAUAGAAUCAUGGUUGUUGUGAACAGCAUCAAAUUGCUUGGGGACCAGUUUAGUGAAGCAAGAAUUAUAUAGAAGGUUAUCUCAACCUUGCCUGAAAGAUAUGAGGCCAAGAUCUCAUCCCUUGAAGACUCGAGAGAUCUGAUUAGCAUCUCAUUGACUAAGCUGAUCAAUGCUCUUUAUGCUUAAGAGCAAAGAAGAGCCAUCAAACAAGAAGAGCAUAAAAAAUGUGCAUUCCAAGCUAAAAGUAGAUUUACCUCGAGCUCCUCUAGCUAUAAAGGGAAGAAGACCUAGCAAGAAUGCCUAAAAGAGAUGGAGUAAGAAGAAGAUAUCCACCUUGCCCACAUUACAAAAAGCUUAGUCAUCAGGGAGAAAACUGUUGGUUCAGGUUUGAUGUGCAGUGCAAAGUCUGCAAAAAGAUGGGUCAUGCUGAGAAAGUUUGCAGAAACAAAGGCAAGCUGAGACGAAACCAACCUCAAUAGCCAAGAGCUAAAUCUCAAAUGGCAGAAGAAGGUAAUGACUAAGAAGAGUAAGUCUUUGUUGUUUCAUGCUCAGCUGCCAAAAGAAAAGCCACAAAAGAAUGGCUGAUAGACAGUGGUUGCACAAACCACAUGACUCCUAAUGCUGCUAUUUUCAAGACCUUAGACAGAACCUUCAACACAAGGGUGAAAGUUGGUAAUGGACACUUCAUCAAAGUAGAAGGCAAAGGAGAUGUGCUGAUUAACACUCCUACAAGUAUCAAACUUGUUUCAAAUCUUUUGUUUGUGCUUGAAAUUGACAGAAAUCUACUUAGUAUAGCUCAGUUGCUAGAAAAGGACUAUUCAAUAGUGCUCAAAGGCAAAGAAUGCCUGAUCAGUGAUCCAUAUAGAUCGAAACUCAUGUCAGUGACCAUGGCUGACAGAAGUUUUGUUAUGGACUGGAACAAGGGUUCAGACAGUGCCUAUACAGCUGCUUUGGAUGAAUCCAAGCUGUGGCAUAAAAGGCUAGGCCAUGUCAACUACAAGUCACUGGCUCAGCUAACCAAAGAAGACUUGGUUGAAAACUUCUCCAAAUUAGUUGAGAAAGAAGAAGUGUAUGAAGUGUGUCAGCUAGGAAAGUGAGCUAGACUGCCAUUUCCUUUGAACAAGGCUAAGAGAGCCUCUGAAAAGUUGCAACUAGUCCACACUGAUGUGUGUGGCCAUAUGAAGACACAAUCUUUGAAUGACAGCAGGUAUUUUAUCCUUUUCAUUGAUGACUACUCAAGAUAUUAUUGGAUUUACUUCCUAAAGGACAAAUCAGAAGUAGCCUUAAUAUUCUGGAAGUUCAAGGCUGUAGUAGAAACAGAAACAGGUUACAAGCUAAAGACAUUAAGGUCAGAUAAUGGGACAGAGUAUACCUCAACUAUGUUUCAGGGCUUUUGUGAUGAAGCAAGCAUCAAGCACCAAUUCACCAACACCUACACACCUCAACAGGAUGGUGUUAGUGAAAGAAAGAAUAGAAGCUUGAUGGAUAGGGCAAGAUGUCUGUUGUUUGAGAGAAAUUUGCCCAAAACCUUGUGGGUUGAGGUAGUUAACACUGUUGUAUAUCUUCAAAAUAGGUUACCAACCAAGGCAUUGGUUCAUAAAACUCUAUUCGAGGCCUAGUUUAGGUUCAAACCAUCAGUUGCUUACCUGAGGGUCUUUGGAUGCAUAUGCUAUGCACAUGUCCCGGAAGUAAAAAGAGAUAAGUUGGCCAAGAAGGCUCAACCUGGCAUCCUGGUGGGCUAUAGCAGUGUCAAGAAAGGCUAUAGGGUCUUGGCCCCUUCAUCCAAUAAAGUUUUUGUGAGCAAAGAUGUAGUAUUUGAUGAGAAGUGAGGCCGGAACUGGGAUAAAAAUAAACCAGAGACUGCUACUGAAGACCUGGUGACAAAUCAAACUGAAGCUGAUCGAAAUGAUCCUAAAAUGGGCAUUGAUGAUGUGCCAGUUAGAGGAACCAGACCAUUGGCUAAAAUAUAUGAGAGGGCUGAUGUGGCUGCUAUUAAACCAAAUUGCUUUGAAGAGGCUGAAGCUCAACAAGGUUGGAAACAUGCAAUGCUUGAUGAAAUGAGCAUGAUUCACAAGAAUAAGACCUGGGAGCUCGUUGCAAGACCAGCCAACAAGAAGGUUAUAGGAGUGAAGUGGGUGUUUCGAGCCAAGCAUAAAGCUGAUGGAACUUUGAACAAGCUGAAAGCAAGAUUAGUAGUGAAGGGAUUCAGUCAAAGGUAUGGCAUUGAUUAACUUGAAACAUUUGCACCUGUGGCCAAGUUUGACACAAUUAGACUGCUGGUUGCCUUGGCUGCACUGAAUCAUUGGAAGAUUCAUCAACUCGAUGUAAAAUCUGCCUUCCUCAAUGGUUUUCUUGAUGAUGAGAUAUAUGUUGAACAAUCUGAAGGUUUCAUAAAAAAAUAUUAUAGUUUUUACAUAAUAUAAAUUUUAGAAUUUUUAUGAAUAUUUUGAUUUUAAAAAUUAUUUAAUUUUUUUUGUAAUUUUUGUUAAGAGAGAUUAAUUUGUUAAUUUUUAAAAUUGACAGGAAUCAAAGGAGUAUAUAUAUCAAUCUGUUGUUUGAAUUAUUUGAGUUAUUUAAAUUAUAAAAUUUAACUCAAAUCUCAAAUUAUUAAUAUUUUUAAUAAUAUAAAACAUUAAAAAUAUUAAAAUUAAAUAAAAAAAUUAAAUAAUAAUAUAGAAAUGAAAAUAUUUCUCAUGCUCUAAGAAAGUUUGAAAGCUGAAAUUUAAAUAUGUUUCUUUCAAAAGUGAAAAAUUCUAUAUAUUCUAUCAUCAAAAUUUCCACUCAUUGUGUCCAUCAAUUUAUAAGGUGACUUGACUUGUACACAUUGGUUGAACGUUGUUUUUGUGCAAUAAAAACUUGGACAUUUGCAUGCAAUGCCAAAGACUUAAGACUUAAAAGGUCUAUAAUAUUUCAUACUACCAUUUUUUCUGGUCCUAAAUUAAAGAUUUUAAAAAUUCCAAAUUAAAAUGUUACUCAUAAUUUGAGAACUUAAUUAAAGCAUUGUAAAGUUUAUGUGUCAAUUUAAAAUUCGAUGUAUAAUUUUGCGAUGUAAGGUGAAUUAACCCGUUUGAUAAAUCAUUACAUAUUUACAAGUUGGAUACUCAUUAACAAAUUGAUUUUAUAUUAUAAGUUAAAAUUUAUAUUUUUGGUGCUAUAACAAAAUUUACUUAAAAAAUUAAAUUGUAAUUUUUUUAUUUUAAAAAAAUUAAAUGAUGUAGAAAUAAUUAUAUAUAACAUAAAAAUGAUAAAAUUUACCUAAGUUUAAAAUAAUUUAAAGUUAAAAUAUUUGUAUCAUGGAUUUUUUUUUCUAAAAAGUCGAUACCUAAAAUAUAUAAUUUAAACUCAAAAUAUCGGUUGAAUUAUCAUCUUUGCGUAGUAAUGGUUCCAAUAGGGUUUAAAGUGCUAUAAUUUAAUCUUUUUUAAUGACUUAGAUUUAGACGAUUAUUUAUAUAGAGUAAGGAGUGGGCAAGAAAAUGACAACCUUGGCAUUAAUAAAUUAAUGAGAUCGAUAAAAUAUUAAAAUCUCGUUCUUGAAAAUUAAAAUUAACAAAAAAGAAAGACGUAAGGCAAAUUAAGUGUGGAUUUAACAACUUAUUUCUAAUACUAACAAUAAGUAAUUUAUGCAUCAUAAGUAAUUUAUGCAUCAUGACUAACAGCUUUAAAUAAUACUUGAUGGAGUCUUGAUUUGGCAAAAUGACUUAGAAAUUGCAUGCAAUGCCAAUCACUCAUAAACUGUAACGACCCAAAAUCCGUGGGCAGUGGAAAAGUAUACUAUCGGGCCUCUAUCUUAGUAAACCGAGUUAGUAAAUAAUUAUUAGGAGUAAGUAUGAGUUUAGUUGAGUGCUUAAUUAGGUAUUAAUUAGGUGAAUUUAGUCUAAUUAAGAAUAAUUAGAAAAAAGGAUCAAAUCGAAUAAAGAGUGAAAGUCUAAUUAUAGAUUAAAAGAAAGUAAAAAGGACUAAAAUGAAAUUAAGCCAUUUACAUGAAAAGAGGCGACAUAUAUGCAUUAAAUCCAAGAUUUUAUUUAUAAAUAUUAUAUGUAUAUAAUUGUUAUAAUAAUUAUUAUUUAUUCAAAUUGUAAUUUAUAUUAAUUAUAUUAUUAUAUUAUAGAAUAAAUUAAAAUUAAGACAAGUGUUUGGUGAUAAGAUGGUACAAGUGUAAUAAUAUAUAUAUAUACACUUGUAUUAUAAUUAUUAUUUACUUAAAAUUUAAGUAAAAGAUAUUAAUUAAUUAAAUAAUUAUAUUAUUAGAUUUUUAUUUGAUAAACAAAUUAAAUAGUGACAAUUGUAUGAUAUUGAUGGUGUACAAAUGUGAAUAAAUGAUUGAAUAUUUAAUAGAUAUUUAGAAUAAAAUAUAUAUAUAUUAUUAUAAUAUAAAGUAAAUAAAAGAAAAUAAAAUAAAAGAAAGCAAAUGAAAUAAAAAGAAACAAAAGAAGAACAUAAUAGAAACAGAGAAAGAGACGAAAACAGGGGAAGAAAAGGGAAAGAAAAGAAAAGGGGAAAAUUGGGAUUUUAAAGCUUCAAGUUUAAUUGGUUAGCUAAAUUUAGCAUUUUUCUCUUAAUUUUGAUGUUUUAGAAGCUUUAAAACAAAGUUUUGUUGAAAUUAAGUUGAGGUUUUGGAAGUUUAUAAGUUUAGAGAGCAUGGUUCAUGUUGGACAAUUUGUUAAAUUAGGGAUUUAAUUGAAUGAAUUUCAAGUUAGAAUUGAUAAAAGGAUUAAAUUGUGAAGUAAGUUAUAAUUUUAUAUUGUAGGGACUAAAUUGAGGAAAAUUCAAAAUUAGAAAAAUAUGCUGAAAUUUUAAUAAUUAAAUUUGAGUUUGGAUGAAAUUUGAAUAGAAAAAGAGUGUGAAUUGAAUUAGAAAAGUAAGUAAACUUAGUUAAGAUUAAAUUUAGAAUAAGGUAAGAAUUGAUUAAAAAAUUAAUUAAUUAUUUUAAUUUAAUGUUGUAAUUAAUAGCGAAAAUUAUUAUUAUUUUCGUAGCUAACAAAGAACCCGAGACAUCGGCAUCAAAAGGAAAGGAGAAAGCUAUCGAGGAUUAAAUCGGGAGAUUUACGAUUUGUAUUACUAUAAUUCAAAUUAUUUAUUACUUAUUAUUAAAUUAAAAUUAUUUGUAUGGUAAGUGAAUAAUAAGGUAAGUGACUUAUUUAUAUUGAAUUUGGAAAAUUAAAUUGAAAUGAGAAAAGUAUGUUUCGGUAAUAAAUUGUGUUUUGAAUAGUGAAUGGAAAAGUAUAAUUGAGACCGAUACUGAACUGAAUUAUGAAAUACUGAAUAUUGUUUGAAUACUGAAUUGAACUGUGAAAUUACGGAAGUAAUGAAUUAUUGCAAUACUGUGAAACUGAUUGAAAUAAGGAAUUUUAAUUAAUACUAAACUAAAAUGGAAAUUAUACUGAAAAGUGAAUUAAAUACCCUAUUAACUAGUCGGGCUAGUCGGAUAUAGUUGGCAUGCCAUAGGAUAUGGAAGAGUACGGGGUAUUUGCUGGCUUACUGAUCAGGCACUUAUUGUAAUAACCCGAUUCUAGGCCUAGUCGGAGCAGUGGUUUCGAGACCACAAAUCCGACGAGGGAAAAAUUAUUAUAUUUUUAUGGUCUACAAUUUCAAGAAAAAUUGUUGUAAAAAUUUCGUUCGAAAAUUUUGACGUUUGGGCACUCAAUUUAAUCAAAAGGACUAAAUUGUAAAAAGUGCAAAAGUUGAGUUCUACAUCUUAGAGGUGUCUAAUUGUUAUGAAAUUUUAAAUUGAAGGUCUUUAUGUGGUAACUAGACCAUUAGUUAGUUGAUGGACAAAAAUGAGCAUAGAAUUAGUGAAAAAGAUUUUUUUAAGUAAGGGCAUUUUAGUCAUUUGGUAAUUAAAUAGAAUUAAAUGGGUGAAAGAUGACAAAAUAUGCUCAUCUUCUUCAUGGUGAAUGAAAUCAGUAAGGGGGAAAGCCAUAUUUAGGGUUUUUAAGCUUCCAAGCUCCAUAAUCAAGAAAGAUGUGAAGACCACCUUAAACGGGAAAAAGAAAAGGUCGAGGAGUAAAUCACAAAAUCAAAAUAUUUUGUUCCGAGGUAAGUAUGCAUGUGAUUUAAUGUAUUAUUUUAAUGUUAUUUUAUAUAUAUUGCUGGGAUUUGAUUGAAAAUGGAACGAAUACUCGAUAUAGACUCUAAAAUGUGGUUAAAUUGGAAGGUAGUAAAGCGUUGAAAAUCAAAGUUUCCGGUUGAACACUCGGAAUAAGCCGGGAUACAUUGAACAUAAAAGGGGGUUUCUAAGUGUUGAUUCCCCAAAUCAUCGGUGGUUGCUAAGUGCUGAUUCCACCGUGUCUUCGAAUAUGAAAGGGGUUGCUAAGUGCUGAUUCCCCAAAUCAUCGUGCUGAUUCUCCAAAUCAUUGGUGGUUGCUAAGUGUUGAUUCCACCGUAACGGAUUGUAUAAGGGGUUGCUAAGUGCUGAUUUCCCGAAUCAUUGGUGGUUGCUAAGUGCUGAUUCCACCAUAUUUUUGAAUGUGCAAAAGGAGGUUGCUAAGUGCUGAUUCCCCCAAGGGGUUGCUAAGUGCUAAUUCCCCGACUCACUUGUGGUUGCUACGUGCUGAAUCCACCAAAUAACGGUUAAUAUUCUGAGUGUUCAACAGGAAAAUUGGAAGGGUGAUUGAACAUGUAAAUUAAAUAUGAUUGUGUGGGGAAUAUUGGGUUUGAUAUUUAAUCAACCCAUGUGUAAGAUGAAUGGAAGUAUCAAAACUACAAAAGAGCAAGUUGGUCACAAACAGCUUAAAACAACAACAGUUGGGUAACUUGGAAAAUUCACCAUAAAUGGUGGAAUUUGAAUUAGAGGUUGGGUAAUAUAUGAAAUUGAAGCUGAAUGAGUCUAUUUUCAUAUGAAAGAAUCAUAGCAAGCAAAAGAGUUAUAUAUUUUGAAAUAUUUAAAUUUUAGUGAGACAGGGCUGAAUUGCUUUUGAGAUCCCCUGUUCCAACUUUGGAAAAUCACCAAAAAUUGUAAAAAAAUAAUUGUGGGUUGAAAUUUAUAUACUUAAAUUUCUUCAUUAAGUCUAUUUUCUGUAGAAAUAAACAAGAACCUUAUAUGAAUUUUGCACAGAGAGUAUAGAUUUUAGUAAAGGGUGGUCAGAGCUGUCGAGCAGUGAAAAGGGGAAGGUUUGAAGAAUAAAAUGUACUAAUUUCCAAAACCAAAAAUUCUGAAAAUUUUAUGGUAGAAAGGUAUAUGAGUAUAGUUUCAGAUAAAAUUUACAGAACUCAAUUUGGAGCUCUGUAGCUCCAGAUAAAAAUAAAUUAGUGACUGUGAUGCAGAAAAACAGGUUGCUGGAAAUUGAGCAAACAAUGAAAUUUAUGAAUGAUUAAAAUUAUAUCACUUUGUAAUAUUAUGAGAAAUUUAUUAAUUUUUCAUGUGGUUACUUACUAAGCUAUAUGCUUACUCUUCUUUAUUUUUCUCUUGAUUAUAGUGAUAACAAUCUGCCUGAAGUUGGACGAAGUCAGAAAUCAUCCACACUAUCGUCAUCUCUCGGGGUAUUUUGUAAUCAAUACUUUUGAAACAUGGCAUGUAUAGAUGACUUAAUUUAAUAUGAUAUAAAUAUGUUUGUAAAAUAUUGUUCGGUUAAAAAUGUUGGUGUUUAUUAUUGAAUAAAUUGUGUAUGCAUAUAUAAUACUGUAAUUGGUUGAAAUAUUAAGAUCGUUUGAAAUUGUUCUUUGAAAAUUUGCAGGAGGUUUUAUGUAAAAAUAAGCAGAAAUGCUGCCGAAAUUUUACAAAAAAAAAUAGUAAUACCUCGUGCUCUAUUCCAUCAAGGAAUACGGGUAAGGGGUGUUUCACUUAUGUGCCGACUACUGUUACUGUUACCGAUUCGGCACUUUGUGUGUCGAAUACUGUUACCAUUACUGUUACCGAUUCGGCACUUUGUGUGUCGAAUAUUGCUACUGUUACUGGUUACUGUUUAUUAGUGUGUUUGGUUGGAAUCCGUGUAUCCGCCGAGUCCGAGUUAAGUUAAUAGGGAUAAAUGAAAUAAAUUUACUGAUAAAACCAAUCUCGAAUGAUAUAGUAUAUGUGAAAAAUGAAAAUUGAAAUAAAGAAAUAAGAAUGAUAUUUAUAUAUAAGAUUAAUUGAUAAUAUAAAAAGAUCGAAUUGUUUAUUAGUAGUGAUGAUUGUAAUGAAAAAGUAUGUGUGUGAUUUAAUGUAUUUAAUUGUAAAUUGAAUUAUAGUGAUACCACUGAGUAUGAAAUACUCAGCGUACAGUUGUUUCUGUGCGCAGGUCGAUAGAAGUCAAAGGUUCCGUUUCAGCAUCCGAAGCCAGACCCGACUUCAGCAAAUUUUGGUGAUGAAUAUUUUCUUUGGUAAUGUGGCAUGUACAUAGGAUGGGUAUAAAAGUUAUUAUGUUUUGAAUAUAAAUGGUUAAAAAUGUUAGAAUUAUAAGUCUAAGAAUUAUAAUGAAAGAAGUUUAUCCAUUUCAAUUUAAUUAGUACGUUGAUAAAUUUAAAUUGAUAUUAUAUUGAUUGAGUUUGGUUAGAAGGUAUUUAGAAUAGAAUGAGAAUGUGAAAUGAAUUGGUUGAAUUGGUUAUGUUUGGAAAUGAUACAGUUUUAAUUGCAGGAGGUUUUAUGUAAAAAUAAGCAGAAGUGCUGUCGAAAUUUAUAAUAAUAAAAAAAAGAAAAAAAAAGAGAAAAAUUCGGAGUACUUAAACGAGUCCCAUUCAUUAUUAAUACAUGUUUUAGCCUUCGAAAGUUCAUUACAAGGACUUAGUUAUUCAAUUAUAUUACAAAUGUUAUUUUAUUUAUAAAUUAUUCGUAAGUUGUCUGAUAUGUUCGGUAAUGCCUCGUAAUCCUGUUCCGGUGACGGUUCGGGGUUAGAGGGUGUUACAUAAACAUUUUUCUAUGGAAAAUACACACUUGUGUAUAAAUAAGUCGUAUGCCAAACACAAUCCUCCUUCACACCCACCCAACAUGAACACUCUUCAUUCCCUUAUUUCACUCUUUCUCUUCUCAUGCUUCCUUCCUCUUCUCUUGUCUUUUUCACCUCCUCAAACUCAUCUCCCAAUGCAAUGCCUUGAUGACCAGAGAUCUCCUCUGCUGCAAUUGCAACAUCAUCUUUACUAUGCCCCUCAUUUUACUUUCUCUUCCAAAUUUGAGCUUUGGCACCCCAACACUGAUUGUUGCUCUUGGGAAGGAGUCACUUGUGAUGCUUAUGGUCAUGUCGUUGGCAUUGAUCUUAGUUACAAAAACCUUUCAGGCAGCUUUCACCCCAUAUUCAAUCUCCAUCGUCUUCAACGCCUUAAUCUUGUUGGAAACAACUUUAAUACCACUCUGUUUUCGUAUGGGUUUGAUAAACUCCAAAAUCUAACUCAUCUCAAUCUUUCAAGCUCAUGUUUCCAUGGCCAAAUUCCAGUGGAGAUCUCAUUCUUAAAAAAUUUAGUCUCUCUUGAUCUAUCCAAUCAAGAUUCUUGUUAUUUGAGAUAUUACAAAGUUCUUGUUGAAAGCUGGACUGCAAAGCAACAUGUGGCCAGCAGCAUGGUUGGCUGUCGAGCUUGGUGAUAAUGCUUGGUGUGCAAGACUGAAGCUGAACCAGAUGAAGCAAUCAACUUUGGAUGUUUUGUUCUUUUGUAAUUUAGUUUAGUUCAACUUUAACUAGUUUCCAAAGUUAGUUGGAUUAAGUUUGUGAUUGGAUUGAUGAUGUAAAAGCUGGUAUGUCAGCUUAUUUUGUAUUUGACUUAAGCUUGUAUUAGUUUAGUUUAAGUGGGAGCAGUUAUGUCAUUAGGUAACUGUCAAAUGAAUCAAAUUUGUAACUCUUUUAUAUAUUCAAAUUUUGAAUGAAAAAAAAAGGUGAAUGUUCAGUUACAAUUUGCUGAGUAUUCAAUUUUGUUCACUGUUUUUUGCUUUGCUUUGAUUUCUUUUGCUUCGAUACUUCUUGCUUCAGUUUUGCAAAUUCUGUUUUGCAACUUUGUUUUCUUUUUGCUGCUGCCAUUGUUCCAACAAAUGGUAUCAUGAGCCCGAGUCUUUGAGGGGCCUUUGUAUGCAAUCUGCAGCCACUUCAAUUAAAGAAUCCAAACUUCAAGACAUUAAUCAAGAAUUUGAGGUUUCUCACAGAGCUUUAUUUGGAUAGUGUGGACAUUUCAACUCAAAGUGCUAAAUGGUGUGAAACCACAUCUCUUAUACUUCCAAACCUGCAUGUGUUGAGUCUGUCAAGCUGUAGUUUGAAAGGUCCAUUAUGUUCUUCACUCUCAAGACUCUCUUUUCUUUCCAAACUUAUCCUUGAUUGGAACCCAAUCUCUUAUUUACCUCCCAAUUUCUUGGAAAUUUCCUCUCGUUUGGUUUCUCUCAGUUUGAGGAACUGCAAUUUGAGUGGCCAUUUUCCAAUUGAAAAUCUCUUAUCGCCAAAAAUUCAAAGCAUUGACAUUUCAUUCAACUUCCAACUUAUGGGUUAGUUGCCAGAAUUUCCAGCAAACAAUGCAUUAUUGAGUCUGUCACUUUUUGAGACAAAUUUCAGUGGAAAACUACCCCAAUCAAUUGGUAAUCUCAAGUUCUUGACUAAUUUAGAGCUUGAUGAUUGCAAUUUUUUUGGACCCAUUCCAUCGUCAAUUGCAAAUCUUAGUCACCUGGUCAACCUAGAUCUGGGAGGGAACAAGCUUUCUGGAUCAAUACAUUCUUCUUUAUUUACUCUUCCAUCGUUGAAGACCUUGUAUCUUGGAGAAAAUCAAUUGGUUGGGAAAAUUGACGAGUUCCCCAAUGCAUCUUCUUCUUUGAUUCAAGAAUUAAGUAUAGGAAAUAAUUAUUUAAGAGGAGCAAUCCCAAAGUCAAUUCUUCAACUCCCAAGGCUUGAAUGGCUUUAUAUCGAAAGCAAUAGCUUUAGUUCUAUGAAGCUUGACAUGUUUGUCCAAGUCAACAACUUAAGGACUCUCUGGCUAAACAAUAUAAGCUUGUUAAUUGAAAGCGACAACAGAAGUCUUACUUUUCCCAAUUAGAGAGUCUAAGCCUAUGGUCAUGCAACCUUACUGAAUUUCCAGAAUUCAUUAAAAGGCAAGACAAGUUGGUUGACUUAGAUCUUUCUAACAAUCAUAUCCAUGGUGUUGUGCCUAAUUGGUUGUGGAAGAGCAGUCUUUCAUCCUUACACCUUCCUUUCAAUGUGAUUGAUUUUCCAAAACAGCUUCCCUUAAAUGAUGCAAACUUCUCAUUUCCAAUGUUGACAGAAUUGGAUUUGAGAUCCUGUAACAUAAGUGCGUUUCCAGAGUUCUUAAAGAGUGUUGGAACAAAGAGACAAUAACAGGCUGUUUGUAUCUUGCUUGAAUAGCAAGCCUCGAGCCUUGUUGAAGAAACAAACUCAGAAGCAAAACAGAAAAUGAAACUAGCAGGCGAAUAACAGAAAAGAGAGAAGAAGAAUGAAUGAAAAAUGAGCUGAUAUUUUUUUCAUUAACUCAAAACAAGGCAUUAAGCCAUUACAUAUUUCAGUCAACAAGUAAAACAAACAAGUAAUCACCUAAUCAACUACCUAACUCCACUAAUUUGCAUUGAAACUUACAAGAUUAGCUUGUACAACUUGCAUUGCUGACUUUUCAGUCAAUCAAUAUCAAAACAUUUACCUACUUAGUUCAACAUGAACUAGAUUACAAAACAAUCAAAAUGAAACCAAAACAGCAAGUGGAUUGGCAGCUUCAAACUUCAGUUGCUGCACACAAUGGCACCACUGUUUGCUGCUAUUUCUUCGAGCAUGACCACCUUUGCAUGUCGUGCAUGGCCACCUUUGCAUGGGAACUAAACUUAACAAAGAGUCUAGAAAAUUUAAUAUUUCUCGACCUUUCAAUUAAUAAAAUAAGUGGUGCAAUACCAAACUGGGUGUGGAAGAAAAGUUUGCGGUCUCUGUAUCUUGCUAAUAACCAUCUCUCAUCUUUGGACCAACUUUUACCCAAUCAGAGUUCAACUUCUUCACAAACCUCCUCGACUAGACCUAUUUGCAAUUUGAGUCAACUUAGAAAUUUCGAUGCAUCUCAUAACAAUUUGAGCGGCACGAUUCCAAAUUGCUUAGGCAAAAUGAAUGAUCUCCUAUUGUUGGAUCUGCAAGGAAAUAACUUCAGUGGAAUGUUACCAAAAUUUUCAAAAGCAACCCACUUAUAUAUUCUCAAAGUUAGUGAGAAUAGAUUGGAAGGGAAGUUGCCCAGAUCAUUAGCUGAAUACACUCAGCUUGAAGUUUUGGACGUGGGAAACAACAAGAUGAAUGAUACAUUCCCUUUUUGGUUGGAGAAAUUGCCUUACUUGACGGUUCUAAUAUUGCGGGAAAACAGAUUUUAUGGUCAAAUUAAACAUUUCAAACAUAAAUCUGUUUUCCCAACUUUGGAUGUAUUGGACAUUGCUUCAAACCAGUUUUCUGGUGAACUAUCCAUUGAUUUCCUUCAACCCACUCGACUAAGGUCACUCAAAAUAGGUGGGAAUAAAUUGGAAGGGAAGCUGUCGAGAUCAUUAGCCAAUUGCACAGCACUUGAGGUUCUGGACCUUGGAAAUAAUAUGGUUCAUGAUACAUUCCCAUUUUGGUUAGAGAAGCUGCCUUCCUUGAAGGUUGUCAUUUUGCGAGCAAACAAAUUCUACGGACCAAUUACAAAAUUCAACACAGAACGUGGGUUUCCAAAGCUACGCAUAUUGGACAUUGCUUCCAACAAUUUUUCAGGCGACUUGUCCAUUGAAUUUUUGCAAAGCUUGAAGGCAAUGAUGUAGUUAACAAAUGAGGACAAAGCUAAGCUGGAUUACAUUGGAGAGAAUUAUUAUCAAGAUUCAGUGACAAUUUUCAACAAAGGGAUUGAGCUGUUUUACGAGAAAAUCUUAAACACUCUUACUUGUUUGACCUUUCCAACAAUAGUUUCCAUGGGAGAAUACCAGAAGAAAUACAAAUGCUGAGGUCACUCAAAGUGCUAAACUUGUCCUAUAAUAGCUUGUCCGGUGAAAUCCCAGUAGCAGUUCAAAACCUAAAAGAUCUGGAGUCUUUGGAUCUCUCACAGAAUGAGCUAUCAGGGAAGAUUCCUCCACAGCUUACAACUCUAACUUUCCUAGAGGCACUGAACUUGUCUUACAACCCACUUGAAGGGAGCAUACCGCAAGGCAACCAAUUCAGUACAUUUUCAAAUGAUUCUUAUCGUGGGAAUCCAAAAUUAUGCGGUCAACCAUUGUCCAAGAAAUGCAAUGAAGACGGUCUUCCAGUGCCACCGCCUCCAGGGGAAGAGGAACAGUCAUGGUUAUAUGCUAUAUCAACUUGGAAAAUUGUUUUGAUAGGUUAUGGUAGUGGUUUGGUCGCUGGGCUAUGUAUCGGAUAUACAGUGUUGAAUGAGUUGGGAAACAAAUGGGUUGACAAGUUCAAAAAACAUGGGAAAAGAAACAGAAGAAGAUCUAGGUGACUGUGUCAGACUUCAUAUAUUAAAGUCAACAGGUAAACAUUUCCUUUUGAAACUAUAGUCUUUAUAUUUUGAAAAGAUUGAUGACGUUUCAAACUAAUUUUGGAUCAUAUAUACAACAUUACAAUUCCUUAAAUUAAGCAGCAGGAGUGGUGACACAGUGAUUUUGUUUUUCCUAUGCAAUAUUCCCAUAUUUGCAUGCUUAUGAGAAGUUAUAUUCUUGGUGGUUUGACUUGUAUUUCUUAUUUUGUCACAGGGAAAUGACCUCUGUCCUUAUAAGCUUCAAGUCAUUGCAUGUCAUUGGUGGCAAUGAAUCAUUUUAAGUAGAAAACCACGCAAAGUAUGAUAAUUUUUGUUUGGGUUUUUGUGCUAUAUAUUUUAUCAAACACAUGUUGGGCUUUAGGCUCGGGUGUAAUGGGUAGAUCUAUUGGUCCGGGUUUUAGUGCAGUCUGACAUUUGUUUUGUACAAAUAAUUUAUUUAUCUUUUAAUAACAGUUUUAUUACUUUAAAAAUAAGUAAAUAAAAUAUAAUGAAAAAUUAGAUAUCUUAAAAAUAUGGUCCGUUUUCCGGAGUUUACAAACAAUGUAAAACACUAUAAAUAUGAUAGCUUUUUCAAAUGAUUCUCCCAUUAUGAAACAUUUAACAGAAUUUGCAUAAAUGAAAUAUUUAUUUACAAGAAAUAAAAAUUAGCCAUGUUAUGCAUAUGAAAAACGUGAUAAUUUGCAAGUGAAAUGAGAAGCUUCAUAUUCUAAUUUUCAGGCCAACAGUCUGAGAAGAAAGCACAGAUUGGCAGAAUAAAGUUGAGAAAAGGAGAAGCAUAUGGCGAAAAGGUUAAUCCCAAAACCGAUAUGCUGCACUCGACGUUCUCUUACAUGUAGUUUGUAUCAUACGCGGAUGGUUGGAUCUUAUUAUUUUAGGAUUUAGUUUACCCAACCGUGAACUUCUGCUUUAAAUACAAUAAUCCUAUUCUAAAUUGGUAUUGGGAUUAGUCAAUUUAUUCUUUCAAUGAUAGUUUUAUUACUUUAAAAAAAUACCCUUCAAUUAAACAUUGUAUGUAAUAAUAUGAUAAUAAUAAUUAAAAUAUAAUGAAAGAAAUUAUGUCUUACAGUCUAGUAAAGGCCAACAAUGUGUCACACUAUCAUUACAAUGUACACAUACUUUGUAGAGAAAUUUAUCCAAUGAAACAGAGGAUGAAACCAGUUUCCCAGAUGCAGGGAAGAAUUGGUAUGCUACAAUAUUACUAAGAAAAAUACUAAUAACAAAAAAAUGGUAAUGGAAUCACCGUUGUUAGUUUUUAGUGUUUUUUUUUGAGGUAUUAUAUAUUUGUAUUUGACCUAUGUUUAUAAUGGUGACCAGACCUGUUAUUUAUAUUUUUGAGAUCCUAGGCGAAACAAUAAAUUAGGGUCUUGUUUAAAAAAUAUUAAAUGUAAUACAAUAAAACAAAAAAAAUAAGCCCUUUUAUUUUAUAUUUUUUUUUGCCUGCAAUAAAUCGAAAGACUUAAAAAGUUAAAAAUUUCAUGUUAAAAACUGGAAAAAGAAACUUUUUGAGCCCUAAACGGUCACACUCCAAAACUACUCUAAAGUCGGGUUGAAAACAACCCAACAAAUUCCAAUCAAAUCCCAAGCUCCAAAAUUGGAAUUAACAAAUGGAAAAACAAAAAGACGUUGGUAAAGCAAAGUAAGUGUGAAAGAUAUGAAGAGUAAGAAGAGAGUAUGAAAAUUUUGAAAAUUGUAAAUUAGGAUGACUUUAAAAUAUGGGGAAGAUUCAUGGGUUUGAAAUCAAUGAUUUUGCAGUUUCUCUUUGUUGAUUUGGUGGAUGUUUCCCACUACUUUUGCUUUUAAUGCUUCCCAUUAUAUACUUGGAAAUUGGGAUUACUUUUGCCACUCAUUUCUCAUGUUUGUUUGGCCAAUAAAGAUUAUUUGCAUAAAGCAACAAUGGGGCAAUAGGCUGCAAUAUUUCCACAUGCCUCUCAAACAUUUUACUCCAAUUUUAUGGAUUUUUUAUAUUUUUUUAAAAAAUUAACAUAUUUUUCUACCUUUCUUCUUUCUCUUCUCAUCCUCUCUUUCUCAAUCUCACCUCCCCGAAAAGAGCAAUGAAAGAAGCGACAAAAGGGUCCUUGGCUGUUUGUGAUGAUGCACUUACAUAUACUCACUUCUAUACGAUUCAUGUAAAUCCUUUCUAUAACUUAUUUCCUUGGAAGCAUUCCUCUGUUAGAGCAACUAAUCCAAAUUCUUAAAUCCAGAUACUGAAUUUUUUUUUUCUUUUCUCUCGAUUUUGUAGCAGGGGCCAAACUCCCCAAUGUCUUGGCUACCAAUCUUCUUUAAUUUAAUCGAACUCAUUUAUGGUAAGGAUGAGUUUUGGAAUGCUCUAUGAAUAUUGUGAGUUGAACAUGAGUAGCAUACUUGACAUGCAAAAUCUAAUAUCAAGAAUCUCCCUUGUGAGAUUCAUUUUUGCUUCAAUUCACAGCCAUUUGGGGUAUGUAAUUUGUCUCUAGCACUGAACUUUCAUGCCAAUAAUGCUAUAUUAUAAACAAGGGUCAUGGCUUUUCCAAGCCUUCUUUAAUAUGAAUUUACUCUUUAGUUCAGAAUUUUAUUUUCAAAUUAUUUUUGUGCAGCUUGGAAGAUAAUAUGAUGAGUUAGUGUUGAUGAAAGCCACAUUUAACAGAGUGAUUCUGCAAAGAGACACCACUGCUAGAUGUGCCUCUUUGAAACGGGACAAGCUCAAGCAAAGAUCGUUAACUUUAUCUUUGAAAACAAUGGUAAAAGUUUCUAACUAAUUAUCUUUUCCUUGACAUCUUCUUUAAUCAUGAUUGAAUUAAGUUUAAGCAUAUGAAAGACAUGACUGUUGGUAGAUAAAUGAGAAGCUUCAUAUUCUAAUUUUCAGGCUAAUGGUCUAAGAAGACAGUAAGGCGUGUUGAUUGCAGUUUGUUAUCUAUUCUAUGGAAAAGAAAACGUGCAUUGCCAACAUAAAGUACAGAAAGGAUAUGCAUAAGGUGCAAAGGCUUAUCACCGAAGCAAGUCUGCAUCUUGUUUAAGGUGGCUCAUGUUCUCUUACAUGUAAUUUGCAUGAAAUCGUAUUAUCUUAGGAUUAUACUGGAGUGCCACCAGCAGUUGACCUCACUGGCAUGUGAGACACUGUUAAGAAUCUUGACAAUGAUCUUAACAAGAUUAAUCCACUAGUUUGUAAUUUUCCCUCUAUAUUUUACCAGGAGUAUAUAACUUAUUUACUUCUAUAUCUUGCAAUUUAUGCAGCCCCUGAGCAUGGUAUAGCUUGGUGUUGGUAGACACAUCGUCCAAGAACUUACAAGAUGUUGAGAAAGCAUAGUGUCGGCAAAAUUUUUGAGUUUUAUGGUUAAGUCUAUGAUCAUAAAUCUUAACAACAGAAUGAUUUUACUAUAAACAAUUUCAGGUUUAUAGGACUUUAUCAUCAAUGUAACUAUUUUUAAUGUGGUUAUAGGAGAGGGUUUGGCUGAAUUAUCAUUAGCUAAUCAUGGUCGAGCCAUUAGGACUAAUAGCUUCAUCAUCAUCCUUUGCUGUGAUAUGACUCUGGCUUGAAUUUAAAGAAAAUAUGAAGUACUUAUAAUGAGAGAGAAAAUUACUUAGCUAAGAGAAGAAAUCAUUUACUUCAACCAAAUUAUCCCCGGUAGAAAUAAAAGCCAAAAGAAUUAAAUUCAUUCAAAACAAAAAUUGUAGGGAUUAGUUUUAUAAUUUUACUUAAAUUUUCAUUUCAACAGGAGGACGCAGGUUCGAGUACAUUGAAGUGCAUUAUCCUCUUAUUUAUGGGUUGGGGAGAGACUAUGGGUAGUUUUAAGGCAUUGUAUCAAAAUAAUAGAUUUAAUCAAAACCUAUAAUGUAAAAAGUUGCUACUAAAAAGUUUAAAAAAUAGAAUUUUUAGUUUCCUUUUGUUUAUUUAUUUAUUUUUUUCAUAAUAUCUUUUAUGUAUAUUUGAAGUGUUUUGGGUUUGAUUUUUAAUCAUUAUAAUCAAAAACCCAAUUUUGUACUAAUAAAUCACACCAUUGUUAGUUUUUAGUGUUAUCUUUUGAGGUAUUAUAUAUUUGUAUUUGACCUAUGUUUAUAAUGGUGAUCAGACCCGUUUUUGAUAUUUUUGAGACCCUAGGCGAAACAAUAAAUCAAGGUUUUGUUUAAAAAAUUAUUAAAUGUAAUACAAAAAUUAAAAAAAUUGAGCCUUUUUUAUUUUAUAUUUUUUCUGCCUGCAAUAAAUCGAAAGACUAAAAAAGUUAAAAAAAUUCACUUUAAAAAUAAAUAAAAAAAAAAACUUUUUGAGUUCUGGACGGCCACACUCUCAAACUACCUUAAAGUCAGGUUGACGGUGACUAGAAAACAACCCAACAAAUUCCAAUCAAAUCCCAAGCUCCAAAAUUGGAAUUAACAAAUAGAAAAACAAAAAGACGUUGGUAAAGCAAAGUAAGUGUGAAAGAUAUGAAGAGUAAGAAGAGAGUAUGAAAAAUUUGAAAAUUGUAAAUUAGGAUGACUUUAAAAUAUGGGGAAGAUUCAUGGGUUUGAAAUCAAUGAUUUUGCAGUUUCUCUUUGUUGAUUUGGUGGAUGUUUCCCACUACUUUUGCUUUUAAUGCUUCCCAUUAUAUACUUGGAAAUUGGGAUUACUUUUCCCACUCAUUUCUCAUGUUUGUUUGGCCAAUAAAAGAUUAAUUGCAUAAAGCAACAAUAGGGCAAUAGGCUGCAAUAUUUCCACAUGCCUCUCAAACAUUUUACUCCAAUUUUAUGUUUUUUUUUAAAUUAACAUAUUUUUAAAUUUUUAAAUUUGAUAUUUGAUCCAUAUACUUUAAAAGUUAAAAUUUCAAUUCUUCUACUUUUUUAAUUUAAAAAUCAUAAUCAAACCAUUAUCGUCGUUGAUAGUUUUUGUCAAAAUUUGUCAAUUUAAUAUGUUUAUUUCUAUCAAUCAUAUGUCACGUCAUAAGAUGACACGUUAAUCAAAAUUUUAAGUUAACAAGUUUUAUAAAAAAUACUUGCGAUUUAAUGAUUGCACUGAGAUUUUUAACUUUCUAACUUUUUAAAUAUAUGAACUAAAUCUUAAAAUAUUUAAUAAUAGAAAAUAUAAAAAAUAUUAAAAUUAAAUAAUAAUAUAGAAAUGAAAUUUUUUCUUCAAAUUUCUCAUCCAAAUACAGUCUAGAAAAGUUUUAAAGAUGAAAUUUAAAUAUAUGUUUGUUUCAAAAGUGGAAAAUUCUAUAUAUUGGAUCAUCAAAAUUUUCACUUAUUGUGUCCAUCAAUCUAGCUAAGACUUAACUUGUACACAAUAGUUCAACGUUGUUUUUGUCCAUUAUUAAUUACUUGGACAUUUGCAUACAAUGCCAAAUACUUAAUACUUAAGGCCUAUAAUAUUUCCACACUAUCAUUUUUGGUCCAAAAUUAAAGAUAUUAAAAUUUUCAAUUUAAACCAUUAUGAUUUAAAACUCGAUGUAUAAUUUUGAGAUAUAAAGUGAUUUAAUUCUUUGAUAAAUUAUAACAUAUUUACAAAUUCGAUACUCAUUAACAAAUUAAUUUUACAUUAUAAGUUAAAUUAUUUUAUAAUUUUUGUUGAGAGAGAUCAAUUUGUUAAUUUUUAAAAUUAACAGGGACUAAAGGAGUAUGUACAUCAAUCUGUUGUUUGAAUUAUUCGAGUUUUUCAUUAUAAAAUUUAACUUGAAACUCGAAUUGUAAACAUUUUUAAUAAAUAUAAAACAUAAAAAAUAUUAAAAUAAAAUAAUAAUUAAAUAAUGAUAUAGAAAUGAAAAUAUUUCUCCAAAUUUCUCACCCAUAUAUGCUCUAAGGAAGUUUCAAAGCUGAAAUUUAAAUAUGUUUCUUUCAAAAGUGAAAAAUUCUACAUAUUUUAUUAUAAAAAAAAUUCACUCAUUGUGUCUAUCAAUCUAUAAUGUGACUUGACUUGUACACAGUGGUUGAACGUUGUUUUUGUGCAAUAAAAACUUAGACAUUUGCAUGCAAUGCCAAAGACGACCUAAGACUUAAAAGUCCUAUAAUAUUUCUAACUAUCAUUUUUUCUGGUCCAAAAUUAACCCUUUGAUAAAUCAUAACAUAUUUACAACUUGGAUACAAAUUAACAAAUUGAAUUUAUAUUAUAAGUUAAAUUUUAUUUUUUUGGUGCUAAAACAAAAUUUACUUAAAAAAAUAAAUGAUGUAGAAAUAAUUAUAUAUAACAUAAAAAAUGAUAAAAUUUACCUGAGUUUGAAAUAAUUUAAAGUUAAAAUAUUUGUAACAUCGAUUUUUGUUCCUAAAAAGUCCAUACCUAAAAUAUAUAAUUUAAACUCAAAAUAUCCGUUGAAUUAUUAUCUUUGCUCAUUCUAUGCGUAAUAAUGGUUCUAAUAGGGUUUAAAGUACAUUUUUAUUGCUAUAAUUUUGUCUUUUUAAUGACUUCGAUUUAGUAAGGCGUGGACAAGAAAACUACAACAUUGGCAUUAAUAAGUUAAUGAGAUUGAUAAAAUAUUAAAAUCUCACUCUUCAAAAUUAAAAUUAGCAAAAAAAGAAAGAGGUAAGGCAAAUUAAGUGUGAAUUUAACAACUUAUUUCUAAUACUAACAAUAAAUAAUUUAUGCAUCAUCACUAACAGCUUUAAAUAAUACAUUAUUAUCCCUUGCUUUUGUAUGUUGGAAAAAAUUGACCAAAAAGACUUAACUGAAGUGGUGGAACAGCAUUUUGAUGGAGUCUUGAUUUGGCAAAAUGACUUAGAAAUUGCAUGCAUUGCCAAUCACUCAUAAAUAAGUUGUAUGCCAAACACAAUCCUCCUUCACACCCACCCAACAUGAACACUCUUCAUUCCCUUAUUUCUUCACUCUCUCUCUUCUCAUGCUUCCUUCCUCUUCUCUUGUCUUUUUCACCUCCUCAAACUCAUCUCCCAAUGCAAUGCCCUGAUGACCAGAGAUCUCCUCUGCUGCAAUUGCAACAUCAUCUUUACUAUGCCCCUCAUUUUACUUUCUCUUCCAAAUUUGAGCUUUGGGAUCCCUACACUCAUUGCUGCUCUUGGAAAGGAGUCUCUUGUGAUGCUCUUGGUUAUGUCGUUGGCGUUGAUCUUAGUAAUAGAAACCUUUCCGGCAGUUUUCACUCCAUUUUCCGUCUCCGUCAUCUUCAACGCUUGAAUCUUUCUGGAAACUACUUUAAUACCACUUUGCUUUCUUAUGGGUUUCACAAACUCCAAAAUCUAACCCAUCUCAAUCUUUCAAGCUCAUGUUUCCAUGGCCAAAUUCCAGUGGAUAUCUCAUACUUAACGAGGUUAGUCUCUCUUGAUCUAUCUAAUCAAGAUUCUUGUUAUUCGCGAUACUACAUCAUUCUUGACCCAUAUAGAGGCGUCCGCAACUACUAUGAUCCAUUGCCUUACGAACUUCAACAGCCUCUUAAAUUAGAGAAACCAAACUUCAAGACAUUAAUCAAGAAUUUGAGGUUUCUCACAGAGCUUUAUUUGGAUGGGGUAAACAUUUCAACUCAAAGUGCUAAAUGGUGUGAAACCACAUCUCUUGUACUUUCCAACCUGCGUGUGUUGAGUCUGUCACACUGUGUUUUGAAAGGUCCAUUAUGUUCUUCACUCUCAAGACUCUCUUUUCUUUCCAACCUUAUCCUUGAUUGGAACCCAAUCUCUUAUUUACCUCCCAAUUUCUUGGAAAUUUCGUCUCAUUUGGUUUCUCUCAGUUUAAUGGGUUGCAAUUUGAGUGGCCAUUUUCCAACUGAAAUUCUCUUAUCGCCAAAAAUUCAAAGCAUUGACAUUUCAGCUAAUUACCAACUUAUGGGUCAGUUGCCAGAAUUUCCAGCAAACAAUGCUUUACAGAUUUUGUCACUUUUUUAUACAAAUUUCAGUGGAAAACUACCUGAGUCGAUUGGUAAUCUUAAGUUCCUGACAAACUUAGAGCUUUCUUAUUGUAAUUUUGCUGGACCCAUUCCAUCGUCAAUUGCAAAUCUUAGUCAACUGGUGAACUUGGAUCUAAGAUUAAAUGUUAUGGUUUCAUUAACGGUCACAUCUUUGUUUAUAUUUCUGUUAAGACUGUUAAAAUAAUACUUAGUUAAACGCUGCGUUUCAUUUAAGUGGCUUAGUGAUACGGUGAGUUUUACUUAGUCAAAACGGAUGCGUUUUGUCUAUUGCAGUAUAGCGGUUAUGGUUGUCCAUAUAUGAUUUGUGACCGAAAAGGAAAGGCAGGCAAUUUUGAAUCCUGUUUUCAGUCUCUAUUUCUUCCUACUGUUUUUUUUCUCUCUGAAUUUUCUCUCUUAUUCUCAUUUCAAUCCCGAUCUCAAUUUAUUCUUCAACAUUAAACAAGCUUUCUGGAUCAAUACAUUCUUCUUUAUUUACUCUUCCAUCGUUGAAGAUCUUGAAUCUUGGAGACAAUCAAUUGGUUGGGAAAAUUGAUGAGUUCCCCAAUGCAUCUUCUUCUUUGAUUGAAGUACUAUAUAUAGGCAAUAAUUAUUUAACAGGACCAAUCCCAAAGUCAAUCCUUCAACUUCCAAGGCUUGAAUGGCUUUAUAUCAAAAGCAAUAGCUUCAGUUCCAUGAAGCUUGACAUGUUUGUCCAACUUAAGAACUUAAAGCGUCUCUACUUAUCCAACGUAAGCUUGUUAAUUGAAAGCGACAACAGAAGUCUUACUUUUCCCCAAUUAGAGAGCCUAGGGCUAAGGUCAUGCAACCUUACUGAAUUUCCAGAAUUCAUUAAAAGGCAACACAAGUUGGUUCACUUAGAUCUUUCUAAUAACCAUACCCAUGGUUUUGUGCCCAAUUGGUUGUGGAAGAGCAGUCUUUCAUGGGUGGACCUUUCUUUCAAUGUGAUUGAUUUUCCAAAACAGCUUCCCUUAAAUGAUGCAAACUUCUCAUAUGUUGGCAGACUUGGAUUUGAGAUCCUGCAACAUAAGUGCGUUUCCAGAGUUCAUCAAAACACAAGACAAGUUGGUUGACUUAGAUCUUUCUAACAAUCAUAUCCAUGGUGUUGUGCCUCAUUGGUUCUGGAAGAGCAGCCUUUCAAGGGUAAACCUUUCUUUCAAUGUGAUUGAUUUUCCAAAACAGCUUCCCUUAAAUGAUGCAAACUUCUUAUUUCCAAUGUUGACAAGAUUGGAUUUGAGAUCCUGUAAUAUAAGUGCGUUUCCAGAGUUCUUAAAGAGUCAAAAAAAAUUUAGAAGAAUUCGACGCAUCUUAUAAAAAUUUGAGUGGCCCAAUUUCAAAUUGGUUAUGCAAUAUGAGUCUACUUUACACUUUCGAUGCAUCUUGUAACAAUUUGAGUGGCUCAAUUUCAAAUUGCUUGGUCAAUAUGAGUCAACUUGACACUUUCGAUGUAUCUUAUAACAAUUUGAGUGGCCCAAUUCCAAAUUGCUGGGGCAAUAUGAGUGCUCUGAUUUUGUUGCGUUUGCAAGGAAAUAACUUCAGUGGAAUGUUACCAAAAUUUUCAACAGCAACCCAACUGCAAUUUCUGAAAGUUAGUGAGAAUAGACUGGAAGGGAAGUUGCCUAGAUCAUUAGCUGAAUGCACUCAGCUUGAAGUUUUGGACGUGGGAAAGAACAAGAUGAAUGAUACAUUCCCUUUUUGGUUGGAGAAAUUGCCCUACUUGAGGGUUCUAAUAUUGCGGGAAAACAGAUUUUAUGGUCAAAUUAAACAUUUCAAACAUAAAUCUGUUUUCCCAACUUUGGAUGUCUGGGACAUUGCUUCAAACCAGUUUUCUGGUGAACUAUCCAUUGAUUUCCUUCAACCCACUCGACUAAGGUCACUCAAAAUAGGUGGGAAUAAAUUGGAAGGGAAGCUGUCGAGAUCAUUAGCCAAUUGCACAGCACUUGAGGUUCUGGACCUCGGAAAUAAUAUGGUUCAUGAUACAUUCCCAUUUUGGUUAGAGAAGCUACCUUCCUUGAAGGUUCUCGUUUUGCGAGCAAACAGAUUCUACGGCACAAUUUCAAAAAUCGACACGGAAUGUGGGUUUCCAAAGCUACGCAUAUUGGACAUUGCUUCCAACCAUUUUUCAGGUGACUUGUCCAUUGAAUUUUUGCAGAGUUUGAAGGCAAUGGCGAAGAUGACUAAUGACGAAAAGGCUAAGCGGGUUUACAUUGGGGACGUCUAUUAUAAAGACUCUGUGACAAUUGUUAACAGGGGGGUUGAACUAUUUUACCAAAAAAUCUGAACUGUUCUUACUUGUCUUGACCUUUCCAACAAUAGUUUCCAUGGGAGAAUACCAGAAGAGAUACAAAUGCUGAGGUCACUCAGAGUGAUGAACUUAUCCAACAAUGGCUUUUCUGGUGAAAUCCCAUUAGCACUUGAAAAUCUAAAAGAUCUUGAAUCUUUGGAUCUCUCACAGAAUGAGCUGUCAGGGAAGAUUCCUGCACAACUUACAAGUUUAACUUUCUUAGCAGCAUUGAACUUGUCUUACAACCAACUCGAAGGGAUUAUACCGCAAAGCAACCAAUUCAUUACAUUUACAAAUGAUUUUUACCGUGGGAACCCAAAAUUGUGUGGGCUGCCAUUGUCAAGGAAAUGCAAUGAAGUUGGUCUUCCAAUGCCACCACCUCCAGGGGAAGAUGAAGAUUCAUGGUUAUAUGCUGUGUCUACUUGGAAAAUUGCGUUGAUAGGUUAUGCUAGUGGAUUAGUGGUUGGGCUAUGUAUUGGAUAUACAGUGCUGAAUGAGUUGGGAAACAAAUGGGUUAACAAGUUCAAAAAGUGUGGUAAAAGAAAUAGAAGAAGAUGUAGGUGACUCCAUCAGAAUUCUUGCUUCAAAAUUAGCUGGUAAGCGUUUGUCUUUCUAAUUUGAACAGAUAGUUGUUGAUUUAUAUAUAUAGGUUUUCAUAACCUCAUUUUUUUGCUGUCUUUACUAAGUUCACUGUCAUAUCGUACUUGUAAUUUGAUGUUACCAUUGAGCAAUGCAGGAGGUACUU
This 32101-nucleotide long non-coding RNA is filed under the name Gossypium raimondii (Peruvian cotton). Its description in RNAcentral is "long non-coding RNA (GRAI_LNC003396)". Lineage: Eukaryota; Viridiplantae; Streptophyta; Magnoliopsida; Malvales; Malvaceae. The record is from RNAcentral.